Molecule: long non-coding RNA, 2250 nt
Filed under: Sus scrofa (pig)
Lineage: Eukaryota; Metazoa; Chordata; Mammalia; Artiodactyla; Suidae
Description: lncRNA (ENSSSCG00035001766.1)
Source: RNAcentral
GAGAGAACAACAUGAAGCGACAGAUGGCAGUUGCGGAGUGCACCUCUGAGAGGGUGGUGUGCGGUGAAGCGGGAGUAGAACAGGAGAGAAGUUGAGCUCCAGUCCCUCUAUUCUGCCGUCUUCGACAAGACAACACUCUUUUGCCAGUGCAGCCCUCCAGGGAAUAUGUACUGAGUGACACUUCACAGAACGAAACAGAAAGCAGUGGUUAAUUUGACCCACUACAGAUGACAGAAACGGAACCAACCGAGUGACCGAUGACAAUUAUUUCCAACAUUUAAAAUACCGAGAUGAGAAAACUGGCAACAGAAAAACUGGAUAAUUUACCCAAAGUCAUUUCUCUAGGAAAUUAUAGAGCUGGUACUCAAUCUCAGGCCAUCUGAUCCAAAUCCAUGUAAAUAACAGUUAUCCCAGGAGUCUGUAAGAAUGCAUGUGGCCAGCAAGUCCCUGACCUUACAGUGACUGUGAACAUGAGUGGGGGGAGGGAAAACUGGAUCCAUUGGUUCUCAUUCUAUGAACCCAGUGUACGAGGAAUCUUAUUUUCUAAGGAAAUAAACUCAACUUCUGCUAUCAGCCUAGUCAGGUGAGACAGAAGCACGAAGUCAUUUAACUAUCAGCGUACACCUGACCCCUGGUGUCUGCCAGGGAUUGGUUGCAGGCCCCCGAGGAUAACACAGUUCACAGCUGCUCAAGUCCCUUCUAUAACAUGGUGUAGUGUUUGCAUAUAAUCUCCACACCUCCUCCUGUAGACUCUACGUCAUCUCUAGAUUACUUACAAUACAGAAUACAAUGUACAUACUAUGUAAAUAGUUGCCUUCACAUUUGUAAAUUUAAGUUUUGCUUUUUGGAACUUUCUGAAGUUGUGUUCGAAUAUGUUCAUUCUGCUGUUGGUUGAAUCUGGAUGCGGAAACCACAGAUAAGGAGGGCCAACUGUAUGUAACUAUGUGAGAUGAUCCCCAGCUGAAAAAGAGGAAGCGAAACGGAUACACCCUUAUGCCUGUAGAGAUACAAGAUUCUGCUUCCCCAGAUGGCCUCAGCAGGGGUGGGUUCUGUGAGACCUGCUUUAUAAAGAGAAGGGCAAUGUCACCAGACUCAUAUCUGUGGAACUCGGUUAGCAUUCUGUAAAGAGGGAGCCGGUUACACCGUACCAGCUGUCAAUACUCCUGUUUUAAUAAGAAAACCACUUUUGGAACAAAAUCGGACCGACACUGGGAUAGACUAGGAUGGCGUAGACACAACAAGUACUAACUUGGUGUGGGAUUAUUAAGACGCAAGCUCCCCAACCCAGCUGAGUCAAUGGGCAGGAUCCCUUUGCAGUUUUCAACUUGUCCUGAAAUGCUGUAAGCCUCCUGCCACGUGGAAUCAGGGCAGCGUCUUUGGAAACCAAUGAGGACCGUCACACCACCCAGGAAGAGAGCGGCGGGGUGCUGUGAACGGCUAUCUGGAUACGCGUGUCUGGCAGUGAAAAGACAAUGGCUUCUAGCCAUAGAGUCACACCUUUUGAUUAACGAGGAAAAGGGAGGACCUCUUCUGUUUGGACCAACUCAGUAUUCCCUAGACAACUAAGUUUCCUUUUUUCUGCCUCUCCUGACAGUCCUGAGAGGCGGCUUGGACCGUCUCGCCUGGUCACAUGACUUCUGCUGUCCAGAUCUGCACAGGCUGCCCCUUUCCUCCUCGUUGCUCUCUGGGCUCCUAAACACCAGGUUGGCUUUGGGCGCUCCGGGUCUCCUAAAGCCUUCCUUUGGGACUUCUGGUCAGCUCGGUAGCUGCUAGUUUCUAGCACACUGAAUUUUGCCUGCCUUUGGCCUCUGGAUCACUUAGUUGUUUGUUUGUUUUUUCCCUUUGAUUCUUGUGUACCACACUCCUCUUUUUUUCAUGCUGGCUGGCCCAUUGCCCAGCAGACAUCCAUUUCCAACUUUCCUUACCUGUUUGAUUUUGUUUUACCUGUUUCUGCAAAGCACUAUCAUGACUCAGAAUCCCAGAACUGACAUUUUUAAUGGAGCCGUCAAGAGGAAAUGCUUUUUGGAAAGAGGAAACACACAAUUAGAGGAGAAGAUGGUUUAGCCUUCUUUAGAUUUGAGUCUCAGGAAGGCAACAAUAGAGACUAGAAAGUUUAAAAGAUCUGAAUUAUAGCAGAAUGCCAUUUGUUGUUGUAAUACAUGUAAAAAAAUAAUAAUUAUCUCAGAAUAAUUUGAAAUAAGAAACCGGAUAGAUCAUUGAUCCUUAAUAAUAGCCAAUUUUUCUUUUUCC